This is a long non-coding RNA of Sphaeramia orbicularis (orbiculate cardinalfish), 278 nucleotides long. RefSeq lists it as uncharacterized. The record is from RefSeq and is a predicted model, not a curated record. The transcript is spliced from 3 exons. NCBI's taxonomy places the organism in Eukaryota, Metazoa, Chordata, Actinopteri, Kurtiformes, Apogonidae.
GGUCUGCUGGACCCAGCUGCCCCUCCAGAGCAGGUGGAUCUAGUGGGUGUGGCUGACACUGUCCAUGUCCUGCUCACGAACAGCAGGAUGAUGCCGGUGAAAGAUGCUGACGGGUGGACGGCAGAGAAGUUCAGUGGAGAAGAAUCCUGGCACGAAGCAUGUUACAUGUUCCAACAGACAUGGCAGAGGUUUUUCCGGCUGCUGCUCAACGCUGGUGAGCGCUCAUCACAAUCCGUCCUGUCAGAACUCACUGAGCUGUUGUCAUCAUUUCUACACUA